CCCAACGUUUGACCAUUCGUCUUAUUUGAAAUUUUUUAUUAAUAUUUUUAUUAUUACGAGAUGAUAAAAUAUGAAUAGUACUUUAUACGUGACUAAUUUUUUUAAAUUUUUAUAGAAUUUUUUUAAAUAAGACGAAUGGUCAAACGUUGGACACGGAAA
This 159-nucleotide microRNA precursor is filed under the name Oryza brachyantha (malo sina). RNAcentral's name for it is "MIR812 microRNA precursor family". It matches the Rfam family "MIR812 microRNA precursor family", at positions 27 to 187 of the family's 205-position model. The record is from Rfam by way of RNAcentral. Lineage: Eukaryota; Viridiplantae; Streptophyta; Magnoliopsida; Poales; Poaceae.